This 506-nucleotide long non-coding RNA is filed under the name Ananas comosus (pineapple). RNAcentral's name for it is "long non-coding RNA (ACOM_LNC003734)". The record is from RNAcentral. Lineage: Eukaryota; Viridiplantae; Streptophyta; Magnoliopsida; Poales; Bromeliaceae.
GAAUAAGUAAGUAAAAUUACAUGUGCAAAAAAUAUCUUAGGUCAUUGAAAGAAAAAAAAGAGUGUUGAUAUGUGAACAAAAAAAGUCACAUGGGUAAAGAUACUUAUUUACAUUGACAACUUUGACCAUCCUAUCAAUGAUGUGUGGAGGCAUUUUGCUCCAUUUUUCGACAUUCAGAGGAGCAUUCUGUCUAAUAAUUUGAGCUGUCUCAGUAAUGAAUUGUUGGAAAUUUGUAUCCACUACUCGUCUUAGGUCUUCAGGUAUCUCAAUUGCAGGUUUUGCCUUUUCUUCUUUUCUCUUUUUUGCCCACUUUAGCCCUAUAGUUUUGCCUCGUGUCCUCUUUCUCUCAUAACAUGAAGCUAACAUUAGCACAACCAAAACAAUAUAAAGUUAUCAUAUAAAUAUAAACUGUAUUAAUAGUUUUCAUUAAAAAAAGUAAGUUAUAUUAUGAAGUAUGCAAAAAUUGAAUAUAAACUAUUAAACUUCCAUACCAGCACUACUACUAU